This 389-nucleotide ribosomal RNA is filed under the name uncultured bacterium. Its description in RNAcentral is "bacterial SSU rRNA". It matches the Rfam family "Bacterial small subunit ribosomal RNA", at positions 28 to 417 of the family's 1533-position model. The record is from RNAcentral.
GACGAACGCUGGCGGCGUGCUUAACACAUGCAAGUCGAGCGGUAAGGCCCUUUCGGGGGUACGACGAGCGGCGAACGGGUGAGUAACACGUGGGUGACCUGCCCUCAGCUCUGGGAUAAGCCUGGGAAACCGGGUCUAAUACUGGAUAUGACUCCAUGACGCAUGUUGUGGGGUGGAAAGCCUUGUGCGGCUGAGGAUGGGCCCGCGGCCUAUCAGCUUGUUGGGUGGGGGAUGGCCUACCAAGGCGACGACGGGUAGCCGGCCUGAGAGGGCGACCGGCCACACUGGGACUGAGACACGGCCCAGACUCCUACGGGAGGCAGCAGUGGGGAAUCUUGCGCAAUGGGCGAAAGCCUGACGCAGCGACGCCGCGUGAGGGAUGACGGCCU